Molecule: long non-coding RNA, 143 nt
Filed under: Struthio camelus australis
Lineage: Eukaryota; Metazoa; Chordata; Aves; Struthioniformes; Struthionidae
Description: lncRNA (ENSSCUG00000005268.1)
Source: RNAcentral
UGAGACCCUAGACAUAGAAUUGUGUAAUGCUCUUUUCUGUCUGUUUCUAGAUUUGGGCCACCAUAAAUCCAGCUUGCUUAUUGUUAUGUGACAGCCCAGAUCUUAUCUCUAUCUGCAGCCCCCCCCUCCAAAACUGCUCAGUU